This 2006-nucleotide long non-coding RNA is filed under the name Polistes canadensis. Its description in RNAcentral is "uncharacterized LOC106789126". Lineage: Eukaryota; Metazoa; Arthropoda; Insecta; Hymenoptera; Vespidae. The record is from RNAcentral.
CUUAAAUAUGUGCAGGCAAAUUUACGUAAUCGUAUGUAUGUAUGUAUACGUGUGUAAUAUAUAGAUAUAUGUAUUGCAUAUAUAUAUAUUUGUGUAGAAGACGUAUUGAGCCACGCAUGCGCGUACGCAACCAGCUGCGAUUUCAUUCAUGACGAUUAAUGGGGUGGGGGUGCGGCGGGAAUAAAUCGAUAAGGAGAGCAAGGAUAAUUAUCAUAAUUUUUGUAUCUUUUUGUACUUUUUUUUACUUCGUUUUGUUUCCUGUUCUCCCUUGUUCGAUAAUAAAGAAAUAAUAAUUAGACUCGUGUACGAAGAGUACGUUGAAUAAGAAAAAUUAAAGAUCGCUGUUUUUACGAUGAAUUCACGAGGUUGAAUUAAAUACGCAAGAUGACGUUCGGUUAUCGAACACCUUGAUCGUAAUCGAUAACGCGUUUCCCCGUUCGAUAUAUUCGAUUGUAAUAAAAUUAAUGACAGGGCAAAUCAUUAGAGUCGACGAUUAUUAAAGGAAAAUGUCUACUCGUGUCCGAAGAAGAAUAAAUAUCUGUGUAAUUAGCAGCAGCAUAUUGUUUUGGAGGUUAGUCCAUUUAUACAUUAGAAUCAUCCGACUUAAAAACGAAUAUUAAAUGCAGAGCUUAAUCCAGUAAAUCUGGACACACCGUGCAGGCCACUGCAUUAACUUUUUUGUUUCUGUUAAAGCAAAACAACGACAAAGAUAAACUUUGUCUUAUCGAUACAAGCACCAUAGAAUGACCUAUUAAAAGUCUCUUCGGUUAAAUAAUCCAGCAUAGUAUGUUUCCUACAUAUAUAUCUAGUUGAAAUAUUUAUCAAGAUAUUAAAAAAUAAAAAAUAAUUGUCACUAAUCACGUAAUCAAUAAUGUCACGAUUAAUAUUGAACUACAGUCAAAUGAUUUGUCCAUUGAAUUUGGAGACUGAAAUAGGUAACGAUGCAUAAUGCACGAUAUUAUCAUAUUAACACAUUUUCAUUCAUCUAAAUCAUUCAAUUCUAUUCAUUUCUAAAAUUCAAAUGGAUAUGCAUAUAUAAGAUCAGAAUUUCUUGUUGAUUGUAACCACAAAACAAGAACAGCAACAAUAAUAACAUUAAUAAUAAGAAGGAACGCAAACAGAUAUUCAGAUAACUUUAAGUCAAGGUAGUAAUAAUAAUCUGUUGCUUUUGUACUUCGAUGUAAAAUUAAUUAAGACAACGAGAUGGAUAGGAUAAGAUAAAACACGUUGGUAAAACGUGAGAUUCAUUCAUAUAGGGUGUUAUGCGUUUGUAUAUAUAAGAUAUGUAAAUAAUAUCCGAUUUAAAAAUGCUCUCGUACAAGAUGACUCCCAGCUUGCAAGGACCUCUCGUAGAAAAACCAAACUUCGCAGCAGGCUAAGGACCGGCAAGAUUAAGUUGCAGCAGACUUUCUUUCUCUCCACUCUCAUUUCUCCUUUUCUUUCUUUUUUUUUACUCGUUUUCCGAAUAAUAUCACGUUAAAGUAUCGCCAUCAUUUUCAUAAAUGUCGCAGUAUGAUGAUGGUCAACCAUAGAGAAACGAAUUGGAUUAAAAUUCCCAAAAUUGAUUUUAUCCUAUCUCUUAAUUUAAAGGAAUAAUCAUUUGUCUUAGUAUUUUUUCCAAAAUAAAAUGUGAAACGAUUAAAACAUCUAAAGUUUCUAUAAUUUAUAGCUUGAUGUGUUUUUCUCUUCAUAAUGAAAUAAUAGUUUAACUAUAUACUAUAUUAGAGCGCGAUAGUUCUGUUAUAUAUGCAAACAUAUAUAUGUACUUUUGCAUAGUUAAUUCUAUACAACCAUCAGAUUAAGUAGUUUUAAUAUAAAUAAAGAUAAUCAGCGUUAAAGGAAAAUUUUGAAUGAAAUUUAAAAUGAUCUCUGAUAUAGAAUGUAGAAUAAUAAGAACACGUACCAAGAAUUAAUAAAUUAUGUAUUCAGCAAUUACCAACUUUGAUCGAAGUUUUACUUCAUUUCUAAAAUAUUUGUUAUAUAAUAAAUUUGAUAAAAAUAAAGAA